RNAcentral lists this ribosomal RNA (2864 nucleotides) under Salmonella enterica subsp. enterica serovar Enteritidis. Its description in RNAcentral is "bacterial LSU rRNA". It matches the Rfam family "Bacterial large subunit ribosomal RNA". Lineage: Bacteria; Pseudomonadati; Pseudomonadota; Gammaproteobacteria; Enterobacterales; Enterobacteriaceae. The record is from RNAcentral.
GGGUUGUGAGGUUAAGCGACUAAGCGUACACGGUGGAUGCCCUGGCAGUCAGAGGCGAUGAAGGGCGUGCUAAUCUGCGAUAAGCGCCGGUAAGGUGAUAUGAACCGUUAUAACCGGCGAUACCCGAAUGGGGAAACCCAGUGUGAUUCGUCACACUAUCAUUAACUGAAUCCAUAGGUUAAUGAGGCGAACCGGGGGAACUGAAACAUCUAAGUACCCCGAGGAAAAGAAAUCAACCGAGAUUCCCCCAGUAGCGGCGAGCGAACGGGGAGGAGCCCAGAGCCUGAAUCAGCAUGUGUGUUAGUGGAAGCGUCUGGAAAGGCGCGCGAUACAGGGUGACAGCCCCGUACACAAAAGCGCAUGUGCUGUGAGCUCGAUGAGUAGGGCGGGACACGUGGUAUCCUGUCUGAAUAUGGGGGGACCAUCCUCCAAGGCUAAAUACUCCUGACUGACCGAUAGUGAACCAGUACCGUGAGGGAAAGGCGAAAAGAACCCCGGCGAGGGGAGUGAAAAAGAACCUGAAACCGUGUACGUACAAGCAGUGGGAGCNNNNNNNNNNNNNNNNNNNNNNNNNNNNNNNNNNNNNNNNNNNNGGGCGUUAAGUUGCAGGGUAUAGACCCGAAACCCGGUGAUCUAGCCAUGGGCAGGUUGAAGGUUGGGUAACACUAACUGGAGGACCGAACCGACUAAUGUUGAAAAAUUAGCGGAUGACCUGUGGCUGGGGGUGAAAGGCCAAUCAAACCGGGAGAUAGCUGGUUCUCCCCGAAAGCUAUUUAGGUAGCGCCUCGUGAAUUCAUCUCCGGGGGUAGAGCACUGUUUCGGCUAGGGGGCCAUCCCGGCUUACCAACCCGAUGCAAACUGCGAAUACCGGAGAAUGUUAUCACGGGAGACACACGGCGGGUGCUAACGUCCGUCGUGAAGAGGGAAACAACCCAGACCGCCAGCUAAGGUCCCAAAGUCAUGGUUAAGUGGGAAACGAUGUGGGAAGGCCCAGACAGCCAGGAUGUUGGCUUAGAAGCAGCCAUCAUUUAAAGAAAGCGUAAUAGCUCACUGGUCGAGUCGGCCUGCGCGGAAGAUGUAACGGGGCUAAACCAUGCACCGAAGCUGCGGCAGCGACACUGUGUGUUGUUGGGUAGGGGAGCGUUCUGUAAGCCUGCGAAGGUGGCCUGUGAGGGUUGCUGGAGGUAUCAGAAGUGCGAAUGCUGACAUAAGUAACGAUAAAGCGGGUGAAAAGCCCGCUCGCCGGAAGACCAAGGGUUCCUGUCCAACGUUAAUCGGGGCAGGGUGAGUCGACCCCUAAGGCGAGGCCGAAAGGCGUAGUCGAUGGGAAACGGGUUAAUAUUCCCGUACUUGGUGUUACUGCGAAGGGGGGACGGAGAAGGCUAUGUUGGCCGGGCGACGGUUGUCCCGGUUUAAGCGUGUAGGUGUGUGUUCCAGGUAAAUCCGGUUCACUUUAACACUGAGGCGUGACGACGAGGCACUACGGUGCUGAAGCAACAAAUGCCCUGCUUCCAGGAAAAGCCUCUAAGCAUCAGGUAACAUCAAAUCGUACCCCAAACCGACACAGGUGGUCAGGUAGAGAAUACCAAGGCGCUUGAGAGAACUCGGGUGAAGGAACUAGGCAAAAUGGUGCCGUAACUUCGGGAGAAGGCACGCUGACACGUAGGUGAAGUGAUUUACUCAUGGAGCUGAAGUCAGUCGAAGAUACCAGCUGGCUGCAACUGUUUAUUAAAAACACAGCACUGUGCAAACACGAAAGUGGACGUAUACGGUGUGACGCCUGCCCGGUGCCGGAAGGUUAAUUGAUGGGGUCAGCGCAAGCGAAGCUCCUGAUCGAAGCCCCGGUAAACGGCGGCCGUAACUAUAACGGUCCUAAGGUAGCGAAAUUCCUUGUCGGGUAAGUUCCGACCUGCACGAAUGGCGUAAUGAUGGCCAGGCUGUCUCCACCCGAGACUCAGUGAAAUUGAACUCGCUGUGAAGAUGCAGUGUACCCGCGGCAAGACGGAAAGACCCCGUGAACCUUUACUAUAGCUUGACACUGAACAUUGAGCCUUGAUGUGUAGGAUAGGUGGGAGGCUUUGAAGUGUGGACGCCAGUCUGCAUGGAGCCGACCUUGAAAUACCACCCUUUAAUGUUUGAUGUUCUAACGUGGACCCGUUACCCGGGUUGCGGACAGUGUCUGGUGGGUAGUUUGACUGGGGCGGUCUCCUCCUAAAGAGUAACGGAGGAGCACGAAGGUUGGCUAAUCCUGGUCGGACAUCAGGAGGUUAGUGCAAUGGCAUAAGCCAGCUUGACUGCGAGCGUGACGGCGCGAGCAGGUGCGAAAGCAGGUCAUAGUGAUCCGGUGGUUCUGAAUGGAAGGGCCAUCGCUCAACGGAUAAAAGGUACUCCGGGGAUAACAGGCUGAUACCGCCCAAGAGUUCAUAUCGACGGCGGUGUUUGGCACCUCGAUGUCGGCUCAUCACAUCCUGGGGCUGAAGUAGGUCCCAAGGGUAUGGCUGUUCGCCAUUUAAAGUGGUACGCGAGCUGGGUUUAGAACGUCGUGAGACAGUUCGGUCCCUAUCUGCCGUGGGCGCUGGAGAACUGAGGGGGGCUGCUCCUAGUACGAGAGGACCGGAGUGGACGCAUCACUGGUGUUCGGGUUGUCAUGCCAAUGGCACUGCCCGGUAGCUAAAUGCGGAAGAGAUAAGUGCUGAAAGCAUCUAAGCACGAAACUUGCCCCGAGAUGAGUUCUCCCUGAGACUUAGAGUCUCCUGAAGGAACGUUGAAGACGACGACGUUGAUAGGCCGGGUGUGUAAGCGCAGCGAUGCGUUGAGCUAACCGGUACUAAUGAACCGUGAGGCUUAACCUUACAACGCCGAAG